UACAGAGGGGGCGAGCGUUAAUCGGAAUUACUGGGCGUAAAGCGCACGUAGGUGGCGACGCAAGUCGGGUGUGAAAGCCCCGGGCUCAACCUGGGAAUUGCAUUCGAGACUGCAUUGCUGGAGUACGGAAGAGGAAGGCGGAAUUCCCGGUGUAGCGGUGAAAUGCGUAGAUAUCGGGAGGAACAUCAGUGGCGAAGGCGGCCUUCUGGUCCAGUACUGACACUCAAGUGCGAAAGCGUGGGGAGCAAACAGG
This 253-nucleotide ribosomal RNA is filed under the name uncultured bacterium. Its description in RNAcentral is "partial 16S ribosomal RNA". It matches the Rfam family "Bacterial small subunit ribosomal RNA", at positions 524 to 776 of the family's 1533-position model. The record is from RNAcentral.